RNAcentral lists this ribosomal RNA (2329 nucleotides) under Escherichia coli PA48. Its description in RNAcentral is "bacterial LSU rRNA". It matches the Rfam family "Bacterial large subunit ribosomal RNA", at positions 612 to 2925 of the family's 2925-position model. The record is from RNAcentral. Lineage: Bacteria; Pseudomonadati; Pseudomonadota; Gammaproteobacteria; Enterobacterales; Enterobacteriaceae.
AUAAUGGGUCAGCGACUUAUAUUCUGUAGCAAGGUUAACCGAAUAGGGGAGCCGAAGGGAAACCGAGUCUUAACUGGGCGUUAAGUUGCAGGGUAUAGACCCGAAACCCGGUGAUCUAGCCAUGGGCAGGUUGAAGGUUGGGUAACACUAACUGGAGGACCGAACCGACUAAUGUUGAAAAAUUAGCGGAUGACUUGUGGCUGGGGGUGAAAGGCCAAUCAAACCGGGAGAUAGCUGGUUCUCCCCGAAAGCUAUUUAGGUAGCGCCUCGUGAAUUCAUCUCCGGGGGUAGAGCACUGUUUCGGCAAGGGGGUCAUCCCGACUUACCAACCCGAUGCAAACUGCGAAUACCGGAGAAUGUUAUCACGGGAGACACACGGCGGGUGCUAACGUCCGUCGUGAAGAGGGAAACAACCCAGACCGCCAGCUAAGGUCCCAAAGUCAUGGUUAAGUGGGAAACGAUGUGGGAAGGCCCAGACAGCCAGGAUGUUGGCUUAGAAGCAGCCAUCAUUUAAAGAAAGCGUAAUAGCUCACUGGUCGAGUCGGCCUGCGCGGAAGAUGUAACGGGGCUAAACCAUGCACCGAAGCUGCGGCAGCGACACUGUGUGUUGUUGGGUAGGGGAGCGUUCUGUAAGCCUGUGAAGGUGUCUGUGAGGAUGCUGGAGGUAUCAGAAGUGCGAAUGCUGACAUAAGUAACGAUAAAGCGGGUGAAAAGCCCGCUCGCCGGAAGACCAAGGGUUCCUGUCCAACGUUAAUCGGGGCAGGGUGAGUCGACCCCUAAGGCGAGGCCGAAAGGCGUAGUCGAUGGGAAACAGGUUAAUAUUCCUGUACUUGGUGUUACUGCGAAGGGGGGACGGAGAAGGCUAUGUUGGCCGGGCGACGGUUGUCCCGGUUUAAGCGUGUAGGCUGGUUUUCCAGGCAAAUCCGGAAAAUCAAGGCUGAGGCGUGAUGACGAGGCACUACGGUGCUGAAGCAACAAAUGCCCUGCUUCCAGGAAAAGCCUCUAAGCAUCAGGUAACAUCAAAUCGUACCCCAAACCGACACAGGUGGUCAGGUAGAGAAUACCAAGGCGCUUGAGAGAACUCGGGUGAAGGAACUAGGCAAAAUGGUGCCGUAACUUCGGGAGAAGGCACGCUGAUAUGUAGGUGAAGUCCCUCGCGGAUGGAGCUGAAAUCAGUCGAAGAUACCAGCUGGCUGCAACUGUUUAUUAAAAACACAGCACUGUGCAAACACGAAAGUGGACGUAUACGGUGUGACGCCUGCCCGGUGCCGGAAGGUUAAUUGAUGGGGUCAGCGCAAGCGAAGCUCUUGAUCGAAGCCCCGGUAAACGGCGGCCGUAACUAUAACGGUCCUAAGGUAGCGAAAUUCCUUGUCGGGUAAGUUCCGACCUGCACGAAUGGCGUAAUGAUGGCCAGGCUGUCUCCACCCGAGACUCAGUGAAAUUGAACUCGCUGUGAAGAUGCAGUGUACCCGCGGCAAGACGGAAAGACCCCGUGAACCUUUACUAUAGCUUGACACUGAACAUUGAGCCUUGAUGUGUAGGAUAGGUGGGAGGCUUUGAAGUGUGGACGCCAGUCUGCAUGGAGCCGACCUUGAAAUACCACCCUUUAAUGUUUGAUGUUCUAACGUGGACCCGUGAUCCGGGUUGCGGACAGUGUCUGGUGGGUAGUUUGACUGGGGCGGUCUCCUCCUAAAGAGUAACGGAGGAGCACGAAGGUUGGCUAAUCCUGGUCGGACAUCAGGAGGUUAGUGCAAUGGCAUAAGCCAGCUUGACUGCGAGCGUGACGGCGCGAGCAGGUGCGAAAGCAGGUCAUAGUGAUCCGGUGGUUCUGAAUGGAAGGGCCAUCGCUCAACGGAUAAAAGGUACUCCGGGGAUAACAGGCUGAUACCGCCCAAGAGUUCAUAUCGACGGCGGUGUUUGGCACCUCGAUGUCGGCUCAUCACAUCCUGGGGCUGAAGUAGGUCCCAAGGGUAUGGCUGUUCGCCAUUUAAAGUGGUACGCGAGCUGGGUUUAGAACGUCGUGAGACAGUUCGGUCCCUAUCUGCCGUGGGCGCUGGAGAACUGAGGGGGGCUGCUCCUAGUACGAGAGGACCGGAGUGGACGCAUCACUGGUGUUCGGGUUGUCAUGCCAAUGGCACUGCCCGGUAGCUAAAUGCGGAAGAGAUAAGUGCUGAAAGCAUCUAAGCACGAAACUUGCCCCGAGAUGAGUUCUCCCUGACCCUUUAAGGGUCCUGAAGGAACGUUGAAGACGACGACGUUGAUAGGCCGGGUGUGUAAGCGCAGCGAUGCGUUGAGCUAACCGGUACUAAUGAACCGUGAGGCUUAACCU